Ramularia collo-cygni is the source of this 72-nucleotide non-coding RNA. Lineage: Eukaryota; Fungi; Ascomycota; Dothideomycetes; Mycosphaerellales; Mycosphaerellaceae. The record is from the annotation of a RefSeq genome assembly.
AUCAGUAUGGCACAGUGGUAAUGCGUGUCACUCGUAAUGACAAGAUCCCCUGUUCAAUUCAGGGUGGGGGCA